This 426-nucleotide ribosomal RNA is filed under the name uncultured bacterium. RNAcentral describes it as "bacterial SSU rRNA". It matches the Rfam family "Bacterial small subunit ribosomal RNA", at positions 354 to 796 of the family's 1533-position model. The record is from RNAcentral.
GUGAGGAAUUUUCCGCAAUGGGCGAAAGCCUGACGGAGCAAUGCCGCGUGAAGGAUGAAGGCCUAUGGGUUGUAAACUUCUUUUCUCAGAAAAGAAUUAUGACGGUAUCUGAGGAAUAAGCAUCGGCUAACUCUGUGCCAGCAGCCGCGGUAAGACAGAGGAUGCAAGCGUUAUCCGGAAUGAUUGGGCGUAAAGCGUCUGUAGGUUGUUUAAAAAGGAUUCUGUCAAAGAUUAGGGCUUAACCCUAGAUAGGCAGAAUAAACUUUUAAGCUAGAGUUUGGUAGAGGCAGAGGGAAUGCACGGUGGAGCGGUGAAAUGCGUAGAUAUCGGGAGGAACACCAAAGGCGAAGGCCCUCUGAUGGGCCAAUACUAACACUGAGAGACGAAAGCGAGGGGAGCAAAUGGGAUUAGAUACCCGGGUAGUCC